This is a long non-coding RNA of Raphanus sativus (radish), 829 nucleotides long. RefSeq lists it as uncharacterized. Lineage: Eukaryota; Viridiplantae; Streptophyta; Magnoliopsida; Brassicales; Brassicaceae. The transcript has 4 exons. The record is from RefSeq and is a predicted model, not a curated record.
UGAAUCCUACCCCUUUUGUGUUGUUCUUCGUCGUUUCCACUUCUUCAACUGACGUCUCAUCUUCUUCUCUGUUUCUCCACUGUAACGUCGGCCACCAAUCCAUCUCUCUCAUUAAACCCCCUUCUUCACUCCUUCAAAUGCUGAUGAACUCCAAAAUGAGGAGACUAUUAUAUAAAGAUGACGAGGAUGAAGAAGAUCAACGAAAGAAGAGCAUAAAAUCAGAGAAAGAAACAUGGAUAGUCAUCGUUCAUAUCGCCCAUUCCAUCCUCGCUGGCGAUGGAUUCUCCUUGAGUGUGCCCUCAAUGCACCUCCUCUAACCAGCUCUAUGUCCUAGAGCUCCACCGCAUAGUGCUAAAAGCCAGAGCCUUCGUCUCUUUGCCUCUGUUUAUCUUUCUUUCAGUUUGCACAUUCAACGCUCUCUAAUUUGAAAUCUUGUUCCCUAAUUUUUAAAUUCAGAUAUUGUUGGCUCUUGAAAUAGGGAUCUCUGGUUUUUCUUGCAUUAGUUCUGUGUAGUUGACUAAAGAAGUAUCAACUGGAAUGUCUGAACCAGUUUGGUCCUCACAAUUUGGACCCUUUCUCAAUUUUCAGGACCAAAAACAGAGUGAUGAUGCGGUGGAUCACGACAUGAAUUAUAUAGUAUUCAGAGGAGAAGAUUCCAAUUGAUAUCCACCCAUGGAUGUCUCACUGUCUGCUUAUCAAAUUUUCCCUUCACGUGAACUUUGUUAGACCUCCCCUCUGCUUAUUCCAAAAUAGAGCUCUUUUAUGUUUUCUGUUUCUUUUACAUUAUGCAAGUGUCUCUCUUACAUCAGUCACAAUAUCUGGAAGUGAU